CAGUCGCCGCGGGAACACCAGCACCUCGAGUGGUCAGGAGGUUUAUUGGGCCUAAAGCAUCCGUAGCCGGUUGCAUAAGUUUUCGGUUAAAUCUAUGCGCUUAACGUAUAGGCCGCCGAAAAUACUGUGCAGCUAGGGAGUGGGAGAGGUACACGGUACUCGAUAGGAAGGGGUAAAAUCCUUUGAUCUAUUGAUGACCACCUGUGGCGAAGGCGGUGUACCAGAACACGUUCGACGGUGAGGGAUGAAAGCUGGGGGAGCAAACCGGAUUAGAUACCCGAGUAGUCCCUGUCUCUUAUAA
Molecule: ribosomal RNA, 301 nt
Filed under: uncultured bacterium
Lineage: Bacteria
Description: partial 16S ribosomal RNA
Rfam family: Archaeal small subunit ribosomal RNA
Source: RNAcentral